UUACCACUCUGGCCUUUUGGCUUAGAUCAAGUGUAGUAUCUGUUCUUAAUAGUUUAACCACUAUUAUGAGGGCACCGCCCUCAUUCUUCGGUUAUCAAAAUUUUUGCCGCCCUUGAUUCCUGUGAGCUCUGCUUGCAACUCCAGGGACGUGAUGACCUUGCCACUGCAGUACCGGCUCGUGUCGUCGGGGGAUC
This 194-nucleotide small nuclear RNA is filed under the name Paxillus involutus ATCC 200175. Its description in RNAcentral is "U2 spliceosomal RNA". It matches the Rfam family "U2 spliceosomal RNA". Rfam says of the family: U2 is a small nuclear RNA (snRNA) component of the spliceosome (involved in pre-mRNA splicing). Complementary binding between U2 snRNA (in an area lying towards the 5' end but 3' to hairpin I) and the branchpoint sequence (BPS) of the intron results the bulging out of an unpaired adenosine, on the BPS, which initiates a nucleophilic attack at the intronic 5' splice site, thus starting the first of two transesterification reactions that mediate splicing. The record is from Rfam by way of RNAcentral. Lineage: Eukaryota; Fungi; Basidiomycota; Agaricomycetes; Boletales; Paxillaceae.